RNAcentral lists this long non-coding RNA (276 nucleotides) under Hordeum vulgare. RNAcentral describes it as "long non-coding RNA (HVUL_LNC019799)". Lineage: Eukaryota; Viridiplantae; Streptophyta; Magnoliopsida; Poales; Poaceae. The record is from RNAcentral.
GAGGGGGAGGUUGGGGGAUAUCAUGUGGCUUUGGAACGCGAGGCAACGGGGGAUGGGGGAUUCGAAGGCUGAAACGGACACGGCGGCCGGCGGCCGGCGGCGCGGAGGGUGUGCUUGUCUAUACUUCUACAUGGCGAUGGCGACGCUGCUCGCGGCAACAGUUCACGACGGGGACGGAGGCGAAGGCGGAGGCGGACGGGGAGGGGGAGGCGGAGGCGACGGCGAUGGUGCAGGACAGGACGGGUGGCUGCCGCGUAUGGUGUGAGGAGGACGUGU